UGUGUAGGCGGUGCUCUAAGUUUGGUGUGAAAUCUCCCGGCUCAACCGGGAGGCUGCAUCGAAUACUGGAAUGCUAGAGGGUGGGAGAGGUAAGCGGAAUUCCUGGUGUAGCGGUGAAAUGCGUAGAUAUCAGGAGGAACACCUGUGGUGUAGACAGCUUACUGGACCACUUCUGACGCUGAGACACGAAAGCGUGGGUAGCAAACAGGAUUAGAUACCCUGGUAGUCCACGCCCUAAACGAUGCAUACUUGGUGUGGGCCAUUCAUUUGGUCUGUGCCGGAGCUAACGCGUUAAGUAUGCCGCCUGGGGAGUACGGUCGCAAGGCUGAA
This 330-nucleotide ribosomal RNA is filed under the name uncultured Acidobacteriota bacterium. Its description in RNAcentral is "bacterial SSU rRNA". It matches the Rfam family "Bacterial small subunit ribosomal RNA", at positions 568 to 898 of the family's 1533-position model. Lineage: Bacteria; Pseudomonadati; Acidobacteriota. The record is from RNAcentral.